This 406-nucleotide ribosomal RNA is filed under the name uncultured bacterium. RNAcentral describes it as "bacterial SSU rRNA". It matches the Rfam family "Bacterial small subunit ribosomal RNA", at positions 29 to 426 of the family's 1533-position model. The record is from RNAcentral.
AACGAACACUGGCGGCGCGCUUAACACAUGCAAGUCGAACGAGAAGGCGUAGCAAUACGCUUGUACAGUGGCGAACGGGUGAGUAAUACGUGGGCGACCUACCCUCGAGUGGGGAAUAACCCGCCGAAAGGCGGGCUAAUGCCGCGUACGCUUCCAUCUUUAUGGAGGUGGAAGGAAAGCCGUGCCGUGGGCACGGCGCUCAAGGAUGGGCUCACGUCCUAUCAGCUUGUUGGAGGGUAACGGCCUACCAAGGCUCCGACGGGUAGCUGGUCUGAGAGGACGAUCAGCCACACUGGCACUGCGACACGGGCCAGACUCCUACGGGAGGCAGCAGUAAGGAAUAUUGCGCAAUGGGCGAAAGCCUGACGCAGCGACGCCGCGUGGGGGAUGAAGGUCUUCGGAUUGU